UGGGGAAUAUUGCACAAUGGGCGCAAGCCUGAUGCAGCCAUGCCGCGUGUAUGAAGAAGGCCUUCGGGUUGUAAAGUACUUUCAGUCGGGAGGAAGGUGUCAAGGUUAAUAACCUUGGCAAUUGACGUUACCGACAGAAGAAGCACCGGCUAACUCCGUGCCAGCAGCCGCGGUAAUACGGAGGGUGCAAGCGUUAAUCGGAAUUACUGGGCGUAAAGCGCACGCAGGCGGUUGAUUGAGUCAGAUGUGAAAUCCCCGGGCUUAACCCGGGAAUUGCAUCUGAUACUGGUCAGCUAGAGUCUUGUAGAGGGGGGUAGAAUUCCAUGUGUAGCGGUGAAAUGCGUAGAGAUGUGGAGGAAUACCGGUGGCGAAGGCAGCCCCCUGGACAAAGACUGACGCUCAGGUGCGAAAGCGUGGGGGGCAAACAGG
This 429-nucleotide ribosomal RNA is filed under the name Chloroflexota bacterium. Its description in RNAcentral is "Chloroflexi bacterium partial 16S ribosomal RNA". It matches the Rfam family "Bacterial small subunit ribosomal RNA", at positions 355 to 776 of the family's 1533-position model. Lineage: Bacteria; Bacillati; Chloroflexota. The record is from RNAcentral.